Molecule: ribosomal RNA, 255 nt
Filed under: uncultured bacterium
Lineage: Bacteria
Description: partial 16S ribosomal RNA
Rfam family: Bacterial small subunit ribosomal RNA
Source: RNAcentral
CACGUAGGCACCAAGCGUUGUCCGGAUUUAUUGGGCGUAAAGAGCUCGUAGGCGGUUCAGUAAGUCAGGUGUGAAAUCUUUGGGCUUAACCCAAAGCGUGCACUUGAUACUGCUGUGACUUGAGUUCGGUAGGGGAGUGGGGAAUUCCUAGUGUAGCGGUGAAAUGCGCAGAUAAUUAGGAGGAACACCGGUGGCGAAGGCGCCACUCUGGGCCGAAACUGACGCUAAGGAGCGAAAGCGUGGGUAGCAAACAGG